RNAcentral lists this ribosomal RNA (492 nucleotides) under uncultured bacterium. RNAcentral's name for it is "partial 16S ribosomal RNA". It matches the Rfam family "Bacterial small subunit ribosomal RNA", at positions 29 to 507 of the family's 1533-position model. The record is from RNAcentral.
AGUGAACGCUGGCGGUAGGCCUAACACAUGCAAGUCGAACGGCAGCACAGUAAGAGCUUGCUCUUACGGGUGGCGAGUGGCGGACGGGUGAGGAAUACAUCGGAAUCUACUUUUUCGUGGGGGAUAACGUAGGGAAACUUACGCUAAUACCGCAUACGACCUACGGGUGAAAGCAGGGGAUCUUCGGACCUUGCGCGAUUGAAUGAGCCGAUGUCGGAUUAGCUAGUUGGCGGGGUAAAGGCCCACCAAGGCGACGAUCCGUAGCUGGACUGAGAGGAUGAUCAGCCACACUGGAACUGAGACACGGUCCAGACUCCUACGGGAGGCAGCAGUGGGGAAUAUUGGGCAAUGGUCGCAAGCCUGAUCCAGCCAUACCGCGUGUGUGAAGACGGCCUUCGGGUUGUAAAGCCCUUUUGUUGGGAAAGAAAAGCAGCAGGUUAAUACCCCGCUGUUCUGACGGUACCCAAAGAAUAAGCACCGGCUAACUUCGUG